RNAcentral lists this ribosomal RNA (606 nucleotides) under uncultured bacterium. RNAcentral's name for it is "bacterial SSU rRNA". It matches the Rfam family "Bacterial small subunit ribosomal RNA", at positions 333 to 932 of the family's 1533-position model. The record is from RNAcentral.
AGACUCCUACGGGAGGCAGCAGUGGGGAAUAUUGCACAAUGGGCGCAAGCCUGAUGCAGCAAUGCCGCGUGUGUGAAGAAGGCCUGCGGGUUGUAAAGCACUUUUAUUAGGAAAGAAAAACCCGGAGAUAAUAUCUCCGGCAUUGACGGUACCUAAAGAAUAAGCACCGGCUAACUAAGUGCCAGCAGCCGCGGUAAUACUUAGGGUGCGAGCGUUAAUCGGAAUUACUGGGCGUAAAGCGAGUGUAGGCGGCUGCGUAAGUCGGAUGUGAAAGCCCUGGGCUCAACCUGGGAACUGCAUUCGAAACUGCGUAGCUAGAGUUUGGUAGAGGUAAGUGGAAUUCCGGGUGUAGCGGUGAAAUGCGUAGAUAUCCGGAGGAACAUCAGUGGCGAAGGCGGCUUACUGGACCAAAACUGACGCUGAGGCUCGAAAGCGUGGGGAGCAAACAGGAUUAGAUACCCUGGUAGUCCCAGCCGUAAACGGUGUGCACUUGGUGGGGGGGGGGAAUUGACCCCCCCCGUGCCGGAGCUAACGCGUUAAGUGCACCGCCUGGGGAGUACGGCCGCAAGCUAAAACUCAACAAAUUGACGGGGCCCGCACAAGAGG